Molecule: ribosomal RNA, 350 nt
Filed under: uncultured bacterium
Lineage: Bacteria
Description: bacterial SSU rRNA
Rfam family: Bacterial small subunit ribosomal RNA
Source: RNAcentral
AGGUAGCAAUACUUUGGUGGCGACCGGCGCACGGGUGCGUAACGCGUAUGUAACCUACCUAUAACAGGGGCAUAACACUGAGAAAUUGGUACUAAUUCCCCAUAAUGUUCGGAGAGGCAUCUCUCCGGGUUGAAAACUCCGGUGGUUAUAGAUGGACAUGCGUUGUAUUAGCUAGUUGGUGAGGUAACGGCUCACCAAGGCAACGAUACAUAGGGGGACUGAGAGGUUAACCCCCCACACUGGUAAUGAGACACGGACCAGACUCCUACGGGAGGCAGCAGUGAGGAAUAUUGGUCAAUGGACGCAAGUCUGAACCAGCCAUGCCGCGUGCAGGAAGACGGCUCUAUGAG